AUUGAACGCUGGCGGCAGGCCUAACACAUGCAAGUCGAGCGGAUGAAGGGAGCUUGCUCCUGGAUUCAGCGGCGGACGGGUGAGUAAUGCCUAGGAAUCUGCCUGGUAGUGGGGGAUAACGUCCGGAAACGGGCGCUAAUACCGCAUACGUCCUGAGGGAGAAAGUGGGGGAUCUUCGGACCUCACGCUAUCAGAUGAGCCUAGGUCGGAUUAGCUAGUUGGUGGGGUAAAGGCCUACCAAGGCGACGAUCCGUAACUGGUCUGAGAGGAUGAUCAGUCACACUGGAACUGAGACACGGUCCAGACUCCUACGGGAGGCAGCAGUGGGGAAUAUUGGACAAUGGGCGAAAGCCUGAUCCAGCCAUGCCGCGUGUGUGAAGAAGGUCUUCGGAUUGUAAAGCACUUUAAGUUGGGAGGAAGGGAAGUAAGUGAAUACCUUGCUGUUUUGACGGUACCAACAGAAUAAGCACCGGCUAACUUCGUG
Molecule: ribosomal RNA, 484 nt
Filed under: uncultured bacterium
Lineage: Bacteria
Description: partial 16S ribosomal RNA
Rfam family: Bacterial small subunit ribosomal RNA
Source: RNAcentral